AGUGAACGCUGGCGGUAGGCCUAACACAUGCAAGUCGAACGGCAGCACAGUAAGAGCUUGCUCUUACGGGUGGCGAGUGGCGGACGGGUGAGGAAUACAUCGGAAUCUACUUUUUCGUGGGGGAUAACGUAGGGAAACUUACGCUAAUACCGCAUACGACCUACGGGUGAAAGCAGGGGAUCUUCGGACCUUGCGCGGUUGAAUGAGCCGAUGUCGGAUUAGCUAGUUGGCGGGGCAAAGGCCCACCAAGGCGACGAUCCGUAGCUGGUCUGAGAGGAUGAUCAGCCACACUGGAACUGAGACACGGUCCAGACUCCUACGGGAGGCAGCAGUGGGGAAUAUUGGACAAUGGGCGCAAGCCUGAUCCAGCCAUACCGCGUGGGUGAAGAAGGCCUUCGGGUUGUAAAGCCCUUUUGUUGGGAAAGAAAAGCAGCAGGUUAAUACCCCGCUGUUCUGACGGUACCCAAAGAAUAAGCACCGGCUAACUUCGUG
Molecule: ribosomal RNA, 492 nt
Filed under: uncultured bacterium
Lineage: Bacteria
Description: partial 16S ribosomal RNA
Rfam family: Bacterial small subunit ribosomal RNA
Source: RNAcentral